RNAcentral lists this ribosomal RNA (497 nucleotides) under uncultured bacterium. RNAcentral describes it as "partial 16S ribosomal RNA". It matches the Rfam family "Bacterial small subunit ribosomal RNA", at positions 28 to 507 of the family's 1533-position model. The record is from RNAcentral.
GAUGAACGCUGGCGGCGUGCCUAAUACAUGCGAGUCGAGCGAACGGACGAGAAGCUUGCUUCUCUGAUGUUAGCGGCGGACGGGUGAGUAACACGUGGAUAACCUACCUAUAAGACUGGGAUAACUUCGGGAAACCGGAGCUAAUACCGGAUAAUAUUUUGAACCGCAUGGUUCAAAAGUGAAAGACGGUCUUGCUGUCACUUAUAGAUGGAUCCGCGCUGCAUUAGCUAGUUGGUAAGGUAACGGCUUACCAAGGCAACGAUGCAUAGCCGACCUGAGAGGGUGAUCGGCCACACUGGAACUGAGACACGGUCCAGACUCCUACGGGAGGCAGCAGUAGGGAAUCCUCCGCAAUGGGCGAAAGCCUGACGGAGCAACGCCGCGUGAGUGACGAAGGUCUUCGGAUCGUAAAACUCUGUUAUUAGGGAAGAACAUAUGUGUAAGUAACUGUGCACAUCUUGACGGUACCUAAUCAGAAAGCCACGGCUAACUACGUG